RNAcentral lists this small nucleolar RNA (137 nucleotides) under Microcebus murinus (gray mouse lemur). The record is from RNAcentral. Lineage: Eukaryota; Metazoa; Chordata; Mammalia; Primates; Cheirogaleidae.
GGGUAAAUACGAGGGUUAAAACUUGGUAACCUGUUAUGUCGAGAGAAAAGGUAUUUCUGAUGUGCUAAACAAACCUUUGGAGGUUAAUUAGCAGCAUGACUAAUUUAGCCGUUGCUGUCAGUCACCUUCAGACAAAC